RNAcentral lists this ribosomal RNA (505 nucleotides) under methanogenic archaeon F4/B-1. RNAcentral's name for it is "bacterial SSU rRNA". It matches the Rfam family "Archaeal small subunit ribosomal RNA", at positions 28 to 541 of the family's 1478-position model. The record is from RNAcentral. Lineage: Archaea; Methanobacteriati; Methanobacteriota.
UGCUAUCGGGGUUUGACUAAGCCAUGCGAGUCGAGAGGUUCAAGACCUCGGCGUACUGCUCAGUAACACGUGGACAAUCUGCCCUGAAGUGGAGGAUAAUCCCGGGAAACUGGGGGUAAUACUCCAUAGUUCGUGCUGACUGGAAUGUUAUGCGAACGAAAGAUCCGUCGCUUCAGGAUGAGUCUGCGGCCGAUUAGGUAGUUGUUGGGGUAACGGCCCAACAAGCCUGUCAUCGGUACGGGUUGUGGGAGCAAGAGCCCGGAGAUGGAUUCUGAGACACGAAUCCAGGCCCUACGGGGCGCAGCAGGCGCGAAAACUUUACCAUGCGGGCAACCGUGAUAAGGAAACCCCGAGUGCCAGCACAGGCUGGCUGUCCGCCAGUGUAAAUAACUGGUGAAGAAAGGGCCGGGCAAGACCGGUGCCAGCCGCCGCGGUAAUACCGGCGGCUCGAGUGGUGGCCGCUAUUACUGGGCUUAAAGGGUCCGUAGCUGGAUGUACAAGUCCC